UAGUAACGGCGAGUGAAGCGGCAACAGCUCAAAUUUGAAAUCUGGCUUCGGCCCGAGUUGUAAUUUGUAGAGGAAGCUUUUGGCGCGGCACCUUCUGAGUCCCCUGGAACGGGGCGCCAUAGAGGGUGAGAGCCCCGUAUAGUUGGAUGCCCAGCCUGUGUAAAGCUCCUUCGACGAGUCGAGUAGUUUGGGAAUGCUGCUCAAAAUGGGAGGUAAAUUUCUUCUAAAGCUAAAUACCGGCCAGAGACCGAUAGCGCACAAGUAGAGUGAUCGAAAGAUGAAAAGCACUUUGAAAAGAGGGUUAAAUAGCACGUGAAAUUGUUGAAAGGGAAGCGCUUGUGACCAGACUUGCGCCGGGCUGAUCAUCCGGUGUUCUCACCGGUGCACUCUGCCCGGCUCAGGCCAGCAUCGGUUCUCGCGGGGGGAUAAAGGCCCUGGGAAUGUAGCUCCUUCGGGAGUGUUAUAGCCCGGGGCGUAAUGCCCUCGCGGGGACCGAGGCUCGCGCUCUGCAAGGAUGCUGGCGUAAUGGUCACCAGCGACCCGUCUUGAAACACGGACCAAGGAGUCAAGGUUUUGCGCGAGUGUUUGGGUGUAAAACCCGCACGCGUAAUGAAAGUGAACGUAGGUGAGAGCUUCGGCGCAUCAUCGACCGAUCCUGAUGUAUUCGGAUGGAUUUGAGUAGGAGCGUUAAGCCUUGGACCCGAAAGAUGGUGAACUAUGCUUGGAUAGGGUGAAGCCAGAGGAAACUCUGGUGGAGGCUCGCAGCGGUUCUGACGUGCAAAUCGAUCGUCAAAUCUGAGCAUGGGGGGCGAAAGACUAAUCGAACCAUCUAGUAGCUG
Molecule: ribosomal RNA, 839 nt
Filed under: Corynascus sp.
Lineage: Eukaryota; Fungi; Ascomycota; Sordariomycetes; Sordariales; Chaetomiaceae
Description: partial large subunit ribosomal RNA
Rfam family: Eukaryotic large subunit ribosomal RNA
Source: RNAcentral